AACGCAUAUUGCGCCCUUUGGCAUUCCGAAGGGCAUGCCUGUUCGAGCGUCAUUAUCAACCCUCAAGCUUAGCUUGUUGUUGGAUGAAAUUUUAUCACAAAUUCAUCCCAAAGACAAUGGCGGUGUCUUUUGACCCUUGAUGCAACGAGCUUUUUAAAGCACGCAUUUAAAGUGGUUAAUUGAUUCUAGACCUUUAUCAAUUAAUUUUAAGGUUGACCUCGGAUCAGGUAGGAAUACCCGCUGAACUUAA
Molecule: unclassified non-coding RNA, 250 nt
Filed under: uncultured fungus
Lineage: Eukaryota; Fungi
Description: sequence contains ITS2
Source: RNAcentral